This 521-nucleotide ribosomal RNA is filed under the name uncultured bacterium. Its description in RNAcentral is "bacterial SSU rRNA". It matches the Rfam family "Bacterial small subunit ribosomal RNA", at positions 777 to 1297 of the family's 1533-position model. The record is from RNAcentral.
AAUAGAUACCCGGGUAGUCCACGCCGUAAACGUUGGGCGCUAGAUGUGGGGGCCAUUCCACGGUUUCCGCGUCGUAGCUAACGCAUUAAGCGCCCCGCCUGGGGAGUACGGCCGCAAGGCUAAAACUCAAAGGAAUUGACGGGGGCCCGCACAAGCGGCGGAGCAUGCGGAUUAAUUCGAUGCAACGCGAAGAACCUUACCAAGGCUUGACAUAUACGAGAACACUGCAGAAAUGUAGGACUCUUUGGACACUCGUAUACAGGUGGUGCAUGGUUGUCGUCAGCUCGUGUCGUGAGAUGUUGGGUUAAGUCCCGCAACGAGCGCAACCCUCGUCGCAUGUUGCCAGCACGUAAAGGUGGGAACUCAUGUGAGACUGCCGGGGUCAACUCGGAGGAAGGUGGGGAUGACGUCAAAUCAUCAUGCCCCUUAUGUCUUGGGCUUCACGCAUGCUACAAUGGCCGGUACAAAGGGCUGCAAUACCGUAAGGUGAGCGAAUCCCAAAAAGCCGGUCUCAGUUCGGA